AAAAUCCGUCGAUUUUAGAAAUCGUGAGGGUUCAAGUCCCUCUAUCCCCCCAAAAAGCCCGAUUUGACUAUUUUUCCUACCCUCUCUUUUUUUUAGUGGUUCAAAAUCCGUUCUCUUUCUCAUUCAUUCUACCUUUUUACAAACGUAUCAGAGCAGAAUUUUUUUUUCUUUUAUCACAAGCGGUGUGGUAUAUAUGAUAUACGUACAAAUGAACAUAAAGAAUCCCGAUUCACAAUUCAUAUCAUUGCUCAGACUGAAACUUAUAAAUUAUUCUAUUCAAGAAAUCUAAUUCCACGCUCAAGACUUUUAAUACUUUUUUAUCUUUUUUAAUUGACAUAGACCCCAGUCAUCUAGUAAAAUGAGGAUGAUGCGCCGGUAAUGGUCGGGAUAGCUCAGCUGGUAGAGCAGAGGACUGAAAAUCCUCGUGUCACCAGUUCAAUAU
Molecule: transfer RNA, 442 nt
Filed under: Acer distylum
Lineage: Eukaryota; Viridiplantae; Streptophyta; Magnoliopsida; Sapindales; Sapindaceae
Description: partial transfer RNA-Leu
Rfam family: tRNA (bases 382-442)
Source: RNAcentral